GGUUGGGUAGCUCAGCAGGUAGCAGCGCCGGUCUGAAGAGCCGGAGGUCGUCGGUUCGAUGCCGACCCCAACCA
RNAcentral lists this transfer RNA (74 nucleotides) under Acidobacteriota bacterium. RNAcentral describes it as "Acidobacteria bacterium (bioreactor metagenome) tRNA-Phe". It matches the Rfam family "tRNA". Rfam says of the family: Transfer RNA (tRNA) molecules are approximately 80 nucleotides in length. Their secondary structure includes four short double-helical elements and three loops (D, anti-codon, and T loops). Lineage: Bacteria; Pseudomonadati; Acidobacteriota. The record is from RNAcentral.